UGGGGAAUUUUGGACAAUGGGCGAAAGCCUGAUCCAGCAAUGCCGCGUGUGUGAAGAAGGCCUUCGGGUUGUAAAGCACUUUUGUCCGGAAAGAAAUCCUUGGCUCUAAUACAGUCGGGGGAUGACGGUACCGGAAGAAUAAGCACCGGCUAACUACGUGCCAGCAGCCGCGGUAAUACGUAGGGUGCAAGCGUUAAUCGGAAUUACUGGGCGUAAAGCGUGCGCAGGCGGUUUGCUAAGACCGAUGUGAAAUCCCCGGGCUCAACCUGGGAACUGCAUUGGUGACUGGCAGGCUAGAGUAUGGCAGAGGGGGGUAGAAUUCCACGUGUAGCAGUGAAAUGCGUAGAGAUGUGGAGGAAUACCGAUGGCGAAGGCAGCCCCCUGGGCCAAUACUGACGCUCAUGCACGAAAGCGUGGGGAGCAAACAGGAUUAGAUACCCUGGUAGUUCACGCCCUAAAACGAUGUCAACUAGUUGUUGGGGAUUCAUUUCCUUAGUAACGUAGCUAACGCGUGAAGUUGACCGCCUGGGGGAGUACGGUCGCAAGAUUAAAACUCAAAUGAAUUGACGGGGUCAUAGCUGUUUCCU
RNAcentral lists this ribosomal RNA (587 nucleotides) under uncultured bacterium. RNAcentral's name for it is "partial 16S ribosomal RNA". It matches the Rfam family "Bacterial small subunit ribosomal RNA", at positions 355 to 1375 of the family's 1533-position model. The record is from RNAcentral.